AUGAAGUGGCCAGUAUGGGAGGCCCGAGGGGAAACUGCUCACCUCCGUAGGGGAAGACCCAGGAUCAACUCCAAGGAACCACCUGUAAAGUCAGCAGGUACUGACAAAGAGCAGCAUUGCCACCCCUGGGCAAUGCCCCUCUUACCUGGCAGAUGGUACCAGUUCCUGUCAAGGGUUCCCACCCCAGGGGAGAACAUACCAUCAUUACUGAGUGGUAGAGAUCAUGAAAUGGAAGCCUCUGGCGUUUCCUUUCCCCUUCCACGCUCUGUGGCCACCAGGAAACCUGGGACAUCGAGAAAAAGCCUUCAGCAGCCCCAACUGCAAAAACAGUUUCAAUCAUGUGAUGUGAUUGAUGGUUUUAAUAUGUCAAAAAUAGAAGCGCUGUGAAGCAGGUACUGCUGCGCCCCCCAUUCUGCGGGUGAGGAAAUCGGGGCGGACUGAGUGUACUUGCGUCUCUUGCCCAGGAACACUUUGCCACCAGCACUUCUCCCUGUGGGACGUGGGACCACACCAAUGUCUGACAACCCUGAGCCCACACGGCCUUGUCUGCAAAGCAGGUAUAACUCCAUGUCUCCCACACAACUGUGUAAUGGAUGAAAGAAAAUAUUUUCAAUAACUGGUCACAUUAUCAGGUGCAUAGAGGCGUCCAGUAAAUGCCAGGGCUCCCUCGCCUUUAAUCAAAGCAAAAGAAGACUGGAAGCAUUUUGGUUGUGCAUCAACUGACCAUUUUCCAAAUUGGCUAGUAAGAAACCCUGGCUUCCAACCCUGCCAUUAGUGGAAAGCUUAGCUGGUAUAUCAAGCCAACCCACAUGACAGCAGAAGAAAGCAAGUCCCGUGCAAAACAGCAAAUGCAUUGUGUGUCUGCCCACUUUUGGUCUACACAGAGCCUUCCAACCCAGGCAGAGGACUGUCUUCCUCGGCUAAGCGUAACUGCACUUCAGUCUCCACCAGAAUGGACCAGGACCUAACUUCUCACCUCCCUAAACAGAGCCUCAACCUGCCAAAGCAUUCUGGAGACUUAGCAUGUUAUGAAUUGCUGAGUCCUUUGUUCUUCCUCCAGAGUGAGGCCACGGUUGGCCUGGGGCCUGGUGCUAACCAGAGGGGGAGGAUCAAGCUGCUAAUCCUGGGUCUGUAACCAUCUGUAUCGCUCUUGGGUCCAGCUGGAAACAGAAGGCACACUCAAAGCGGUUUAACAGACGUGAAUGUAAUGAAGGCACUAUGGACAGAGCGGUGGGGAGGCAUAAGGGAAUACCAGGAGAGAGAUGAGGGGCCUGGGGGCUAGGUAAAGGCGGGGCCAGGGAGGGGAUGAUGUUGUAGGAGCCCAGUGAGAGCCAAAGCCAUGAGGAAGGUGACACUUCACAGGAGAUGUGGCCAUCGAGUCAUCCAACCAGUCAGGGCCAGAAUCAGAGUGGAUACCUUUGAACUCCCCCCAUGGCUGACCUCAACCAGAACCAUAGAGCAAGACAGCCACAUGAGGCAGUCCAUAGAGGUCAGCCUCUGGAGAGGGCUACAGAAUGGAUGGGGUGGUGGGAGGGGGCAGGUGGACAACCACCAGCACCCGGGUGCAUGGGAUACCCCCCAUCUCGGGGCCUCAGCCCUCUGAGCUGCCCAUGGUCUACUGGAAUAGCCGGAGUUCAUUCAAACUUCCACCCAGCUCAAGGCACAAUGUAAGGGUCCCUGGGGCCUUCCAACAAUAGAAGCAUUCUCUAAAUCCUAAGAGGAUAAACUGGACUUCAGAAAAUAACUACUGGACAGCUUGGGAGCUGCAAAAGAAAUGAAGGGCCAGAGUUCCACCCAGUCACAUAGUGUUCUGGGUGGUCAACACCCAAAGAUCCUGCUCUGUUUUGGGCACUCACAACGCAGGACACAACUUAAUCCUCUCAUUC
Molecule: long non-coding RNA, 1886 nt
Organism: Artibeus jamaicensis (Jamaican fruit-eating bat)
Lineage: Eukaryota; Metazoa; Chordata; Mammalia; Chiroptera; Phyllostomidae
Exons: 3
Source: RefSeq, a predicted model, not a curated record